UGCACCUGAUAUCAAGUAAGAUGACCCGCUGGACUUAAGCAUAUUACUAAGCGGAGGAAAAGAAAUNACNAAGCAUUGCCUUAGUAAGGGCGACUGAACCGGCAAAAGCUCGAAUUUGNAAUCGGAAAUUCUAAGAGUUUUCGAAUUGUAAUCNGGUUCGCUUAAAUGUGUNCGGCUGUCUAACAUUCUUGAAUGUUUGGCCAUAGAGGGUACUAGCCCCGUAAGACAGCUGUGCAUGUAAAGUGGAUUCAAAAGAGUCGGGUUGCUUGGACUGCAGCCCUAAGUGGGAGAUAUGAAUCUUCCAAAGCUAAAUAUAGAUGGGAGACCGAUAGCGAAAAAGUACUGUGAAGGAACGA
Molecule: ribosomal RNA, 356 nt
Filed under: Didinium nasutum
Lineage: Eukaryota; Ciliophora; Litostomatea; Haptorida; Didiniidae
Description: LSU rRNA
Rfam family: Eukaryotic large subunit ribosomal RNA
Source: RNAcentral